AAUGGGGGAGACCCUGACCCAGCGACGCCGCGUGAGGGAUGAAGGCCCUUGGGUCGUAAACCUCUUUUGCAGGGGAAGAAGCAGAUGACGGUACCUUGCGAAUAAGUCCCGGCUAACUACGUGCCAGCAGCCUCGGUAACACGUAGCGCGGGAGCAUUGUCCGGACUUACUGGGCCUAAAGGGCCCGCAGCAUGUCCGUCGAGUCGGCUGUUGAAAGGCGGGGCUCAACCCCGCGAAGUAAUCGAGACCGGCGUGCUGCAUGAGAUUCGCUACAACAAACAUUCCCGGUGUAGCGGUACGGAUCGCUUGAAUAGGGAAGAACACCGGUGGCGAAGGCGGCCUGCUGGGCAGUUACUGACGCUGAGGCGCGAGAGCC
This 376-nucleotide ribosomal RNA is filed under the name uncultured anaerobic bacterium. RNAcentral describes it as "bacterial SSU rRNA". It matches the Rfam family "Bacterial small subunit ribosomal RNA", at positions 370 to 761 of the family's 1533-position model. The record is from RNAcentral.